UACGGUGAGGUAGUUCAUUAGUGGCAGGUAAAGCUGAUAACUUGUAGUUGCGUUGGCCAUCAUCUACACGGUGAGGUAGUUCAGCCACAGGUGAAACUGAUGACUUGUAGUUGCGUUGACCAGCAUCCGUACGGUGAGGUAGUUCAUUAGUGGCAGGUAAAGCUGAUAACUUGUAGUUGCGUUGACCAUCAUCUACACGGUGAGGUAGUUCAGCCACAGGUGAAACUGAUGACUUGUAGUUGCGUUGACCAGCAUCCGUANGGUGAGGUAGUUCAUUAGUGGCAGGUAAAGCUGAUAACUUGUAGUUGCGUUGACCAUCAUCUACACGGUGAGAUAGUUCAGCCAUAGGUGAAACUGAUGACUUGUAGUUGCGUUGACCAGCAUCCGUANGGUGAGGUAGUUCAUUAGUGGCAGGUAAAGCUGAUAACUUGUAGUUGCGUUGNCCAUCAUCUACACGGUGAGNUAGUUCAGCCANAGGUGAAACUGAUGACUUGUAGUUGCGUUGACCAGCAUCCGUACGGUGAGGUAGUUCAUUAGUGGCAGGUAAAGCUGAUAACUUGUAGUUGCGUUGGCCAUCAUCUACACGGUGAGGUAGUUCAGCCACAGGUGAAACUGAUGACUUGUAGUUGCGUUGACCAGCAUCCGUACGGUGAGGUAGUUCAUUAGUGGCAGGUAAAGCUGAUAACUUGUAGUUGCGUUGGCCAUCAUCUACACGGUGAG
This 720-nucleotide long non-coding RNA is filed under the name Oryza sativa (Asian cultivated rice). RNAcentral's name for it is "long non-coding RNA (OSAT_LNC001925)". The record is from RNAcentral. Lineage: Eukaryota; Viridiplantae; Streptophyta; Magnoliopsida; Poales; Poaceae.